Long non-coding RNA from Lathyrus oleraceus (garden pea), 760 nucleotides. RefSeq lists it as uncharacterized. The record is from RefSeq and is a predicted model, not a curated record. NCBI's taxonomy places the organism in Eukaryota, Viridiplantae, Streptophyta, Magnoliopsida, Fabales, Fabaceae. The transcript is spliced from 3 exons.
ACUUUUUCAGGACAAGAUAUACUAAGUCUACCCAAAUGACAUACGCGUCACUUUUCCAAAAUAUAGAAAUCAGAUCUCUCAAAACCUAUUUCAUGGAUACCGUAGCUUCUCUAAAAAUCUAUGGUGCCAUCGUUCAACCCUCUCUCUAGAACACUAGAUUGUCUCUCUCUCACACACACAUAGUAAUCAAUCAAACACCAUACCAUUCCUCUCUCAAUAUUUCUCUCUACCCCUCUUUCGGUUGCGAAAUCGCUCAGGGAUCUCUCACUUGCGGGAAGACACUCUUGCUCAGUUGAUUUUCUCUCUCUAUCAAGUUUGUCUGGUUUUCUAGGAGUUUUGGCUCCAUUUUGGGUGGCUCUGGCAUAGCAAGUUGUUGUGUCGUUGUUGUUUAGUGUAGGGGUUUGAGCUGAUUUUGCAGGGUUGUCACACAUAGCAGGAGAAAGCGGUUUUAGGUCUUGUGCAUGAUCUAGGAGUUUUUGCUUCACUUUGGGUUACUGCAUGGCGUAGCAAAUUGGUGUGUCGCUUUUGUCUAGCAUUGGGGUUUGGGUUGGUUAUGCGAGGCUGUCUCACAUAGCAGGACAAAAUGGUUUUAGGUCUGGAGUAUCUUGUUUGCCUUUUUAUCAUGGCAUUAAAAUUAUAAAAAGUGAUGUACCACUAGCAAAAGUCUAGUUUGUGCAAGUUUGGAUAUUAUACUAGAAUGUUAUACAAUUUUUUAAAUUUUAGUUAUUAUAAAAUGAGGCACCUUAUGUUCUUUGUAUCA